RNAcentral lists this ribosomal RNA (468 nucleotides) under uncultured bacterium. RNAcentral describes it as "partial 16S ribosomal RNA". It matches the Rfam family "Bacterial small subunit ribosomal RNA", at positions 28 to 507 of the family's 1533-position model. The record is from RNAcentral.
GACGAACGCUGGCGGCGUGCUUAACACAUGCAAGUCGAACGGAAAGGCCCUGCUUUUGUGGGGUGCUCGAGUGGCGAACGGGUGAGUAACACGUGAGUAACCUGCCCUUGACUUUGGGAUAACUUCAGGAAACUGGGGCUAAUACCGGAUAGGAGCUCCUGCUGCAUGGUGGUGGUUGGAAAGUUUCGGCGGUUGGGGAUGGACUCGCGGCUUAUCAGCUUGUUGGUGGGGUAGUGGCUUACCAAGGCUUUGACGGGUAGCCGGCCUGAGAGGGUGACCGGCCACAUUGGGACUGAGAUACGGCCCAGACUCCUACGGGAGGCAGCAGUGGGGAAUAUUGCACAAUGGGCGGAAGCCUGAUGCAGCAACGCCGCGUGCGGGAUGACGGCCUUCGGGUUGUAAACCGCUUUCGCCUGUGACGAAGAGUGAGUGACGGUAAUGGGUAAAGAAGCACCGGCUAACUACGUG